This is a long non-coding RNA of Bubalus bubalis (water buffalo), 781 nucleotides long. RefSeq lists it as uncharacterized. The record is from RefSeq and is a predicted model, not a curated record. Lineage: Eukaryota; Metazoa; Chordata; Mammalia; Artiodactyla; Bovidae. The transcript has 2 exons.
UCCCAGAUGCCCCAGCCCUGGCCCCACCCACCAGGGAGCCUUGGAUAUCCCAGUUCCCACAACCCCCCUUCCCUAUUGAGACACUGUGGUCUUCAGCCAACACCCUCACUGCCUGUCUCCUCCUCCUACUCUGGACCUGGGCCAGCCCCUGCCCCUUUCCAGGCAUGGCACCUCCUUUCAGGCCUCCCCCAUCUUCACCUGGCCCCAUGCCAGCCAGUUAGCCACCAAGCCAACCACCUUUCUGGGGCCUGAGAUGGAGGGAGUCAGCUCUUCUGGGCCAACAUGAGUGCUGAGGGCUGAUGGCUGCAGAGGGGCAGAGGCAGCCCCAUCACCUCCCAGGAAUCUGAUCCUCCUGCCAGGUGGUUCCCAUUUCCUGGAGGCUGCAUGAAGAUGGAGGCAGAGAGAGAUUUUGCUACAAAGAAGAAGGCAAAGUGGAGACUGAAGAAGGAUGCUCCACUUGAGGAAUGCAGCUUUAGAGGCUGGAAAAGACAAGGGAGUGGAUCCUCUCCUAAUUUCUCUGGAGAAGCAUGGUCCAGCUGACACUUUGAUUUUGGCUCAGUGAAUCUGACUUCAGAAUUCUCACCUCAAGAAUUCUGAGAGAACACAUGUAUAUGUUAUUUUUUUUAUUGCGGUAAAAUUUACAUAACUUAAAAUUUAUCAAUUUAACUAUUCAUUAAGUUUACAAACCAGUAGCAUUAAAUACAUUCACAGUGUUGUAUAACCAUCACCACUGUCUUUGGCUUAAAAAACCUUCAUCAUCUCAAUAAAAACUCUGAACCCA